RNAcentral lists this unclassified non-coding RNA (382 nucleotides) under uncultured Alphaproteobacteria bacterium. RNAcentral describes it as "contains 16S-23S intergenic spacer region". Lineage: Bacteria; Pseudomonadati; Pseudomonadota; Alphaproteobacteria. The record is from RNAcentral.
UCGCGGCUUAUCACCGGCAGUCCCCUUAGAGUGCCCAACUUAAUGAUGGCAACUAAGGGCGAGGGUUGCGCUCGUUGCGGGACUUAACCCAACAUCUCACGACACGAGCUGACGACAGCCAUGCAGCACCUGUGUUCCCGCCAGCCGAACUGAAGAGCUACAUUUCUGUUGCUCAUACGGGACAUGUCAAAAGCUGGUAAGGUUCUUCGCGUUGCUUCGAAUUGAACCACAUGCUCCACCGCUUGUGCGGGCCCCCGUCAAUUCCUUUGAGUUUCAGUUUUGCGGCCGUACUCUCCAGGUGGGGCACUUCAUGCGUUAGCGCCGGUACUCUAAGGGUCGUUUUUCGGAGUACUUAGUGUUCAUCGUUUACGGCGUGGACUAC